GAAAGCUCAUUCCUGACCCCGGACAAGCCAUUUCAAUUACUACAGUGGUGGCCCUUUAUUCUUCCCAGCCCGGCCACAACGUCCAGAAGACAAGUCAGAGGUAUCCCCUGGGAAUGCCACAGCUUCUGGUCUCCCCCUGGCCCCUGUUGUAGUGACCACAGCUACCAUGGGAGUUUAGUUCU
This 182-nucleotide long non-coding RNA is filed under the name Ictidomys tridecemlineatus (thirteen-lined ground squirrel). Its description in RNAcentral is "lncRNA (ENSSTOG00000030975.1)". The record is from RNAcentral. Lineage: Eukaryota; Metazoa; Chordata; Mammalia; Rodentia; Sciuridae.